Molecule: non-coding RNA, 135 nt
Organism: Podarcis lilfordi (Lilford's wall lizard)
Lineage: Eukaryota; Metazoa; Chordata; Lepidosauria; Squamata; Lacertidae
Source: the annotation of a GenBank genome assembly
GGCGUGGGGAACCUGUCACCCUGCAGAUGUUGCUGAACUACAACUCCCAUCAGCCUCUGCAAACAUGGCUAAUGCCCAAAGGUGAUGGGAGUUGUAGUUCAGCAACAUCCGGGGGGGGGGGAGGUUCCCCACACC